Molecule: non-coding RNA, 95 nt
Filed under: marine eukaryotic metagenome
Source: RNAcentral
GGCGGACUCCAAACUGCCAGAUCAACAAGCUGGUUACGAAAAGGGAACAACCGUGACCUUGGCCGCUCAGGCCGGGGCGAACGUAGUGUUCGAAU